CCAAAAUGGCCACCGAGAUGGGGGAAAGGCCCGGAAAGGGAUUGGAAGGAAGCACCCUUGCUGGUGGCUGGAACCCUUCUAAGUUUUGCUGAAAUCAAGAGAAAGCAGAAACUGAUGACUGCAGCGUUCCCUGGCUUUUAAAUCAGAAAUUCUGCAUGGAACAUCAGACAGAUACACAAGAGAACUGUUGCUCCAGAGUACUUUCUGACAGCUCAUUCUGACAGGACUAUGUAAAGAGCUACGUGGAAAGACGCUGGACAAAUCUAAGUGAUCAGGCAUUAGAACUUGUUAUAGAUGACACAACAGGAUGUCCAUAAUAAAAUGCAUGAUCUACCAGAACCAUGAGAUGCUAGCAAGAAAUCAGAGAUGCUAGGAAGAAUCCAGCAGGUACUGUCCUGCAUCUCUAAAGCAGGUCUUGAGAGAAAUGUUAUUUGGAUCUAGGAGCCAGCCAAUGGACACUUGGCAACAUUAUCAGAUUUAGUGAUGGACAUUAUGGCAGGCGGUGGGGAGGAAAAUUGGUUUAUCUUUAUCUUCUUUACAAGCAACACACUUAGAACAGAAACAGGGCUGCCUAAGGCAAAUAAAGAUUUUUAUUAAGUAACUGUACCUCUGAAUAUCCUAGUAUAGGUGUCAUGGUUAAAUUUUUAGGUGCCAUGGCUCCCUGGCACAUGUCAACCCUUGCCACUGUUCCGUCUAACAGGG
Molecule: long non-coding RNA, 702 nt
Organism: Hemicordylus capensis (graceful crag lizard)
Lineage: Eukaryota; Metazoa; Chordata; Lepidosauria; Squamata; Cordylidae
Exons: 3
Source: RefSeq, a predicted model, not a curated record